GACAGAGGGUGCAAACGUUGUUCGGAAUUACUGGGCGUAAAGCGAGUGUAGGCGGUUUCCUAAGUCGGAUGUGAAAGCCCCGGGCUCAACCCGGGAAGUGCAUUCGAAACUGGGAGGCUAGAGUAUCGGAGAGGUUGGUGGAAUUCUCGGUGUAGAGGUGAAAUUCGUAGAUAUCGAGAGGAACACCGGUGGCGAAGGCGGCCAACUGGACGAAUACUGACGC
Molecule: ribosomal RNA, 223 nt
Filed under: uncultured bacterium
Lineage: Bacteria
Description: partial 16S ribosomal RNA
Rfam family: Bacterial small subunit ribosomal RNA
Source: RNAcentral